RNAcentral lists this small RNA (28 nucleotides) under Bombyx mori (domestic silkworm). RNAcentral's name for it is "ovarian small RNA-10136". The record is from RNAcentral. Lineage: Eukaryota; Metazoa; Arthropoda; Insecta; Lepidoptera; Bombycidae.
AAAUCGCCUGCCAGAAUGACGGAGUCUC